Molecule: ribosomal RNA, 306 nt
Filed under: uncultured bacterium
Lineage: Bacteria
Description: partial 16S ribosomal RNA
Rfam family: Bacterial small subunit ribosomal RNA
Source: RNAcentral
GACAGCAGUAGCCGCGGUAAUACGAAGGGGGCUAGCGUUGUUCGGAAUCACUGGGCGUAAAGCGUGCGUAGGCGGUGAGUUAAAUCUGCUGUGAAAUCCCCGGGCUCAACCUGGGAAUGGCAGUGGAUACUGGCUCGCUAGAGUGUGUCAGAGGAUGGUGGAAUUCCCGGUGUAGCGGUGAAAUGCGUAGAGAUCGGGAGGAACAUCAGUGGCGAAGGCGGCCAUCUGGGACAACACUGACGCUGAGGCACGAAAGCGUGGGGAGCAAACAGGAUUAGAUACCCCUGUAGUCCCUGUCUCUUAUAA